AACAAAAACAUGUCCUUUAGAGUAGAAUUUAAGGUCUAACCUGCCCAUUGAGGAAUUUAACGGCCGCAGUAUUUUGACUGUGCAAAGGUAGCAUAAUCAUUAGUUUUUUAAUUGAAAGCUUGUAUGAAUGGUUGGACGAGAUAUAGACUGUCUUUAAAUUAAAAGUAGAAUUUAAUUUUUAAGUUAAAAAGCUUAAAUAAAAUUAAAAGACGAGAAGACCCUAUAAAUCUUUAUAAAUUUUUUUAUUUAAUUUUUUAGGAUUAUUAAUUUUUAUAUAAAUAAGUUUAUUUUAUUGGGGUAAUAAAAAGAUUUAAAAAAUUCUUUUAUAGUUUUACAUUGAUUAGUGUAUUUAAUGAUCCUAUAUUAUAGAUUAUAAGAUUAAGUUACUUUAGGGAUAACAGCGUAAUUUUUUUAGAGAGUUCUUAUCGAUAAAAAAGUUUGCGACCUCGAUGUUG
This 455-nucleotide ribosomal RNA is filed under the name Pseuduvarus vitticollis. RNAcentral describes it as "partial 16S ribosomal RNA". It matches the Rfam family "Bacterial large subunit ribosomal RNA", at positions 1806 to 2534 of the family's 2925-position model. Lineage: Eukaryota; Metazoa; Arthropoda; Insecta; Coleoptera; Dytiscidae. The record is from RNAcentral.